This 273-nucleotide ribosomal RNA is filed under the name uncultured bacterium. RNAcentral's name for it is "partial 16S ribosomal RNA". It matches the Rfam family "Bacterial small subunit ribosomal RNA", at positions 524 to 796 of the family's 1533-position model. The record is from RNAcentral.
UACGUAGGGAGCAAGCGUUGUCCGGAAUCAUUGGGCGUAAAGGGCGCGUAGGCGGUCUGAUAAGUCAAAUGUGAAAAUCCAGGGCUUAACUCUGGAAGUGCGUUUGAAACUGUGAGACUAGAGUACAGGAGAGGAAAGUGGAAUUCCUGGUGUAGCGGUGAAAUGCGUAGAGAUCAGGAAGAACAUCGAUGGCGAAGGCAGCUUUCUGGCCUGAAACUGACGCUGAGGCGCGAAAGCGUGGGGAGCAAACAGGAUUAGAUACCCCCGUAGUCC